Molecule: ribosomal RNA, 253 nt
Filed under: uncultured bacterium
Lineage: Bacteria
Description: partial 16S ribosomal RNA
Rfam family: Bacterial small subunit ribosomal RNA
Source: RNAcentral
UACGUAGGGCGCAAGCGUUAUCCGGAAUGAUUGGGCGUAAAGCGUCUGUAGGUGGCUUUUUAAGUUCGCCGUCAAAUCCCAGGGCUCAACCCUGGAUAGGUGGUGGAAACUACCAAGCUAGAGUACGGUAGGGGCAGAGGGAAUUUCCGGUGGAGCGAUGAAAUGCGUAGAGAUCGGAAGGAACACCCAAGGCGAAAGCACUCUGCUGGGCCGACACUGACACUGAGAGACGAAAGCUAGGGGAGCAAAUGGG